Ameiurus melas (black bullhead) is the source of this 75-nucleotide non-coding RNA. The record is from the annotation of a GenBank genome assembly. NCBI's taxonomy places the organism in Eukaryota, Metazoa, Chordata, Actinopteri, Siluriformes, Ictaluridae.
GUUAGUGGUGUCUCAGUGGUUAAAGGUUCUGGGUUACUGAUCCGAAGGUUAUGAGUUCAAACCCCAGCACUACCA